AUGAACCCACAAGCAAGCCCUGGCCCCGAUGGUUUCGGCCCAUCCUUCUAUAAAACCUUCUGGCCCUCUAUCAAACAGGAAAUACUCUCCUUUUUUGCACAAUUUCAUCAAGGUGUGGCAGACACGGAGCGCCUAAACCGUGCCCACACUGCUCUCCUUCCAAAAUCUGCCUCCACAACAUCACCUAACGCCUUCAGACCAAUAUCCUUGCAAAACUGCCCGGUCAAAGCUGUUGCCAAGGUCCUAACUUCGCGCCUCAAACCCUUCAUCCCUCAUCUUGUCCAUGGUAAUCAGACUGGUUUCAUUACCGGUAGGAACAUUGCUGAAAACUAUGUCUUUGCAGCAGAUCUUAUCAGCUCUUGUCACUCUCGCAAACGCCCAACCAUGAUCUUCAAACUUCACUUCAGGAAGGCCUUCGAUUCGGUUGCUUGGAACGCCCUAGAAAAAAUUCUGGCUGUCCGUGGUUUCUCCCAAACUUUUCGUAGUUGGAUUCAAAACAUUCUCCAUACUGGCAAGACUGCCAUCCUCCUAAACGGCAUUCCAGGUCGCUGGAUUCCAUGUAAGAAUGGCCUGCGCCAGGGAGAUCCGGCCUCCCCCUACCUCUUCUUAAUUGUCGUCAAUCCGCUCCAGCAACUUAUCCUCCAAAACCCCGAUCCCGAUCUCCACCACUCCAUCUAUACCCACCUGCCCCCCACCAUUCUCCAAUACGCCGACGAUACAUUGAUCAUCGCAGCCGCCUCCCCCGCCGCCGCUGCCACACUCAAAAAAAUCCUUCAGAAUUUUGCUCAGGCUACUGGCCUCACCAUAAACUUCUCCAAAACCACCCUAGCAACCCUGCACGCAAAUGAAAACCUAGCUGCCAGCACUGCCCUCGCCAUGGACUGCACGCGCCCCCCUUCCUCAAACCUACCUUGGACUCCCCCUCGCUCCGACCAAGCCUCCAUCCAAUGCCUUCGCCCCGUUGAUUGA
RNAcentral lists this ribosomal RNA (969 nucleotides) under Triticum aestivum (bread wheat). RNAcentral describes it as "partial small subunit ribosomal RNA". The record is from RNAcentral. Lineage: Eukaryota; Viridiplantae; Streptophyta; Magnoliopsida; Poales; Poaceae.